Molecule: non-coding RNA, 90 nt
Organism: Thermothielavioides terrestris NRRL 8126
Lineage: Eukaryota; Fungi; Ascomycota; Sordariomycetes; Sordariales; Chaetomiaceae
Source: the annotation of a RefSeq genome assembly
UCCCCCAUAGCGCAGUUGGUUUAGCGCGUCCGACUGUUAGGUCAUGACAGAAAAAUCGGGAGGUCGACAGUUCAAGCCUGUCUGGGGGAG